GAACGAACGCUGGCGGCGCGUCUAAGCAUGCAAGUCGAACGGCAAGAAGGUAGCAAUACCUCCUAGAGUGGCGGACUGGUGAGUAACACGUGGGUGACAUACCCUUCAGAUGGGGAUAGCUAUUAGAAAUAGUAGAUAAUACCGAAUACGAGCACAGGGGUUAGAGAUCUGUGAGGAAAGGAGCUAAGGCUCCGCUGAAGGAAUGGCCUGCGGCCCAUUAGCUAGUUGGUGAGGUAAGAGCCCACCAAGGCGAUGAUGGGUAUCCGGCCUUAGAGGGUGAACGGACACAUUGGGACUGAGAUACGGCCCAGACUCCUACGGGAGGCGGCAGCUAAGAAUAUUCCGCAAUGGACGAAAGUCUGACGGAGCGACGCCGCGUGGAUGAAGAAGGCCGGAAGGUUGUAAAAUCCUUUUGAAACUGAAGAAUAAGCGUUGUAGGGAAUGACAGCGUGGUGACAGUAGGUUUUGAAUAAGCAACGGCUAAUUACGUGCCAGCCGCCGC
This 502-nucleotide ribosomal RNA is filed under the name uncultured bacterium. RNAcentral describes it as "bacterial SSU rRNA". It matches the Rfam family "Bacterial small subunit ribosomal RNA", at positions 27 to 518 of the family's 1533-position model. The record is from RNAcentral.